UACAGAGGUCUCAAGCGUUGUUCGGAUUCAUUGGGCGUAAAGGGUGCGUAGGUGGCGCGCUAAGUCGGGUGUGAAAUCUCGGAGCUUAACUCCGAAACUGCAUUCGAUACUGCCGUGCUUGAGGACUGGAGAGGAGACUGGAAUUUACGGUGUAGCGGUGAAAUGCGUAGAUAUCGUAAGGAAGACCAGUGGCGAAGGCGGGUCUCUGGACAGUUCCUGACACUGAGGCACGAAGGCCAGGGGAGCAAACGGG
RNAcentral lists this ribosomal RNA (253 nucleotides) under uncultured bacterium. Its description in RNAcentral is "partial 16S ribosomal RNA". It matches the Rfam family "Bacterial small subunit ribosomal RNA", at positions 524 to 776 of the family's 1533-position model. The record is from RNAcentral.